GGUCGUAGCCAAGUGGUUACCGCAACAGAAUCAAAAUCUGUUUCUCUUCAGCUGUACAUGUGUAGGUUCGAAACCUGCCCGAUCA
Molecule: non-coding RNA, 85 nt
Organism: Suillus cothurnatus
Lineage: Eukaryota; Fungi; Basidiomycota; Agaricomycetes; Boletales; Suillaceae
Source: the annotation of a GenBank genome assembly